UUUUGAAGGAAAUGUUAUUUAAAAAUUUUGCAAGCAGAAUGGAAAAGAGUUAUCCGUUUGCUAGAUUUUUUAAGUCGAAUGCAUCUAUUUACAAAUGAACUUAUUGAGGAAGAGCACCGCUAGUGGCUCCAGGAGCAAUAACCUAAAACAUGGUGAGAAUAGUGUAAUAAUAAACAUAGAAAAAUUAGUCAACAUAAACAUACCUCGUUUGCUCCGCGUUGAUCCUUGAUUUGUUUUUCAUACUCAGUAAGUUGGGCCUCCUCCUCCAAAGACAUCAUAAAUGGAACUCCAAGAAGCAAGGCAGAAGUAGAAAUUACCCACAUUGAUUUUCCACCAAACUGUGCAAGCUUAGAAAGACCAGUGGUCGCGGUCUUGGCGCCGUCAGCAAUUUUGACACGCCAUGUGACAGGCACAAUCUCUUUGAGCGCAGCAAUUCGGUCAAUGAUGGUUUCCUCCUCGAGACCUUCAAAAUCUGAUUCAUCAGAAUCAGAUUCCUCUACAUCUUCUUGCGCAUAAAUGUAUUGAUCCUUCUCUAUAACGGUUUGUUGUUCGUUUUGGACUUCUGUCUCAUCAACGACUUCCUCAAGCUUUACCAUUUUGGAAUAUAAAAAUAACUAUAAUAUCAGGUUAUCGACCUACAAAAAAAAUCGAAUAUAGCAAGUUCGUGCUUUCUCGAAGUGGAUUGCAGGUUACGAUGAGUGUACCAUAGAGAGUGAUUGCAUCUUUCAAUCUCGUUGGCCAAUUUAAAGCAUUCUCUGCUUUACCUACUAACACUUCAAAAUUUUAAGUGGGAUUGAAAUACUUAUGUGGGGGUCUUUUGUUUAUUAUUAACUUUCAAAGGCCUAUGUGGGGAAUUUUUUUAAAACUACUAAGUAGUACUACCUCCUGGUGGGGGUUCGAGGUCGAUUAACAACUCACUCUUGAUCAUAUGUGUUUUAUCAAAUUCAUUACUCAAUUCUAAAAUUAAUAUUAAUUUUGAUUAAUAAACCUCAAAUCAAUUGUAAAUAGAAAAAAAAUUGUUUGUAAUGUUCACUUUUUUUGUUUGUGAUUUUUAUUACUGCUUAAAGCUUUCUGAAUGCUAACCCUCAGUUGAUUUGAAUAUAGGGAUACGCCCGAGCACGGUAGUUUUUUACUAUUGACAAGUAAACGUACUGUAAUAACAGCAAUAACUGAACUUAAUAACAUAGGUUCACUAGAGCUUUCUUGUAUAAUAGUUCAAUCAAUAAUUUGUAGGUCUUAAAAUGCGUUCAUGGAUGCGCUAGCGAUAUAAGCUUACCAAAGUGUGGAAUAAAGAAUACAGUGACGAAUGAAGCUACUAAAUAGUG
Molecule: non-coding RNA, 1325 nt
Organism: Schizosaccharomyces pombe (fission yeast)
Lineage: Eukaryota; Fungi; Ascomycota; Schizosaccharomycetes; Schizosaccharomycetales; Schizosaccharomycetaceae
Source: the annotation of a GenBank genome assembly